This is a long non-coding RNA of Zingiber officinale, 416 nucleotides long. RefSeq lists it as uncharacterized. The record is from RefSeq and is a predicted model, not a curated record. The transcript has 4 exons. Lineage: Eukaryota; Viridiplantae; Streptophyta; Magnoliopsida; Zingiberales; Zingiberaceae.
CGCAUGCACAACCCUCCGGCUUAAGGCGCACACGAUCUUCUUCUCCGGCGUUCUUUCUACGAUCCACUGAACAAGCUUAAGCUCAGGUACUAUAAAGUAUAAACCAUCAUACCAAGAGUUAUUCAUGCAAACUGAUACAAGCAAUGGUCAUGAUUCAACAAUUUCUGCUUGUGAAAAGGGUUAUAUUUCUGACUACCAUCGAUUUGGAUGGCUAUGAUUUUUAGCUCUCUGCAUACAUGCACUUGGACGCUUCAAGGAUCUUGUGGCAUGUACUAAUGGACUAGUUUCUAUACUGGCUAUACUUAUUCUCCAUUAGCCCAAGCAUAUCAGGAAAUUUAGUAUUCAAGACUCACCAAUCUUUGCUAAACGGUCAGAUAAGGGAGUCAACCUUUUAGCUUCUCUAUGCUAGAAAAUAU